AUUCUGGAAAGAUUGCAUCCAAACAGGAUCCCAGGACAAACUUUUGCUCUUCCACUAUAAAGUUAUGACAUGUGACAUUCUGUGUUGGAUGAACUGACCUACAUUCAUUAACCUCACACUAAUCUCUGGCUCCAUUGGUUUGUUUUUAGGUCAUGUGGACCACAGAUGAGAGAGCAUUCCUGCUGACCAUCAUAUGCGUUUGAAGGGCACCCAUGCAGGGUGGACUGGUUCUUGGUACCAUUGCUCUGGUCACACUUUAUCAGCUGCUGGAUUUAGAAUUGCUGCUUGCCCAGUAUUGGCCCUCAGACUUUAAUAAUCCAUUUACCAGAGCAGAGGCCAGUUUUUCCCAUGCCCCACCACACACAGUUCUUUUCAUUCUUGACUCAUAGCUGAUGACGGAAAGAUUAACAAAUCAUGUCAAUGUCUCAUCAGAGACAUUUAUACCUUUUACAUAUAUUCUACUCUACUCUGCAGCCUUUUUUCUGGCAAUAAAAUACAUUAAUAUGGGGGAUAAAAACUGUACAUAGCUGCUACAAAUUACAAAAAAUUAUAAUUUAUGUUGACUUUCAGUGGUCCAGAUUAGGGCUUUUAGACAAUAAUUACUUACUGUAAAACUAAUCUAGUUCAUUUCAUAAGAACAGAAAACAUUUUGACUAUUUCAUAGGACGUUGAGCAGCUGAUAUGGAUUUGAGCUUCUGGGGGCCAAUAAUUACAUGCUGGCACAUAUGACUUCAUUCCCAAUAUUCUGUGCUUCUGUACAUAGUCAGAUCCGAAAUUUGAGAGCGGAUCAGAGCAAAGUUUACCUCCUUCUAAGACCCCUUGUAAGGCGCUCAAAUGUGCUUAUCGCUGCAAGUUCAUUUGUAAAUAACUGUGACACUUUCCCAUGGUGCUGAAGAGCCAGUCAGCACUUACCCAAACACUCAAACACCCUAAAAUUCACAGGCAUGUACACACGAAUACAUAUGCAGCAUAAAUGUGUACACAGAGGAAUACUGAUGACACCUUAGCCCUGAUUUUUCUUUUCUACAGACUGCUGCAGUUAAUUGACAGUAGUUUAAUCUGCACUUCCAAUUAAAUUUUGCUGGUUGUGGAGAGUAACACAACAGAUGUUAAAAGAUGAUGCAAGGCCUUUUGGAUUUAAUACAAACAAUCUCAACUUUUCAAAGUCCUAAACACACUGACAGGCGUCCCGUUUAUAUACCUAUUAAGCUAGUCAAUGAAAACAGCUGCUGAAUUGGCAGAACAUCUUUGAUACAACAUGUGCACAUUAAAGGGUUUGUUUGAAAGUC
Molecule: long non-coding RNA, 1289 nt
Organism: Micropterus dolomieu (smallmouth bass)
Lineage: Eukaryota; Metazoa; Chordata; Actinopteri; Centrarchiformes; Centrarchidae
Exons: 2
Source: RefSeq, a predicted model, not a curated record